RNAcentral lists this non-coding RNA (26 nucleotides) under Mus musculus (house mouse). Lineage: Eukaryota; Metazoa; Chordata; Mammalia; Rodentia; Muridae. The record is from RNAcentral.
UGGACCUACUACGAUCUUCAUGCUAC